UGGUGUAGCUCAAUGGCAGAGCAAUUGAUUUGUAAUCAAUAGGUUGUAGGUUCGACUCCUAUCACC
This 66-nucleotide transfer RNA is filed under the name human gut metagenome. It matches the Rfam family "tRNA". From Rfam's summary of the family: Transfer RNA (tRNA) molecules are approximately 80 nucleotides in length. Their secondary structure includes four short double-helical elements and three loops (D, anti-codon, and T loops). Further hydrogen bonds mediate the characteristic L-shaped molecular structure. tRNAs have two regions of fundamental functional importance: the anti-codon, which is responsible for specific mRNA codon recognition, and the 3' end, to which the tRNAs corresponding amino acid is attached (by aminoacyl-tRNA synthetases). tRNAs cope with the degeneracy of the genetic code in two manners: having more than one tRNA (with a specific anti-codon) for a particular amino acid; and 'wobble' base-pairing, i.e. permitting non-standard base-pairing at the 3rd anti-codon position. The record is from RNAcentral. RNAcentral also lists the same sequence under 1 other name.